GAUGAACGCUGACAGAAUGCUUAACACAUGCAAGUCCACUUGGAUUUGGGUUUUUAACUUAGGUUUGGGUGGCGGACGGGUGAGUAACGCGUAAAGAACUUGCCUCACAGCUAGGGACAACAUUUGGAAACGAAUGCUAAUACCUAAUAUUAUGAUAAUAGGGCAUCCUAUAAUUAUGAAAGCUAUAAGCGCUGUGAGAGAGCUUUGCGUCCCAUUAGCUAGUUGGAGAGGUAACGGCUCACCAAGGCGAUGAUGGGUAGCCGGCCUGAGAGGGUGAUCGGCCACAAGGGGACUGAGACACGGCCCUUACUCCUACGGGAGGCAGCAGUGGGGAAUAUUGGACAAUGGACCGAGAGUCUGAUCCAGCAAUUCUGUGUGCACGAUGAAGUUUUUCGGAAUGUAAAGUGCUUUCAGUUGGGAAGAAACAAAUGACGGUACCAACAGAAGAAGUGACGGCUAAAUACGUG
RNAcentral lists this ribosomal RNA (467 nucleotides) under uncultured bacterium. Its description in RNAcentral is "partial 16S ribosomal RNA". It matches the Rfam family "Bacterial small subunit ribosomal RNA", at positions 28 to 507 of the family's 1533-position model. The record is from RNAcentral.